GGUGGCUUGCUACUGGACCUAGCGGCGGACGGGUGAGUAAUACUUAGGAAUCUGCCUAUUAGUGGGGGACAACGUUCCGAAAGGAGCGCUAAUACCGCAUACGCCCUACGGGGGAAAGCAGGGGAUCUUCGGACCUUGCGCUAAUAGAUGAGCCUAAGUCGGAUUAGCUAGUUGGUGGGGUAAAGGCCUACCAAGGCGACGAUCUGUAGCGGGUUUGAGAGGAUGAUCCGCCACACUGGGACUGAGACACGGCCCAGACUCCUACGGGAGGCAGCAGUGGGGAAUAUUGGACAAUGGGCGCAAGCCUGAUCCAGCCAUGCCGCGUGUGUGAAGAAGGCCUUAUGGUUGUAAAGCACUUUAAGCGAGGAGGAGGCUUACCUGGUUAAUACCUAGGAUAAGUGGACGUUACUCGCAGAAUAAGCACCGGCUAACUCUGUGCCAGCAGCCGCGGUAAUACAGAGGGUGCAAGCGUUAAUCGGAAUUACUGGGCGUAAAGCGCGCGUAGGUGGCCAUUUAAGUCAAAUGUGAAAUCCCCGAGCUUAACUUGGGAAUUGCAUUCGAUACUGGAUGGCUAGAGUAUAGGAGAGGAAGGUAGAAUUCCAGGUGUAGCGGUGAAAUGCGUAGAGAUCUGGAGG
This 635-nucleotide ribosomal RNA is filed under the name uncultured Acinetobacter sp. RNAcentral describes it as "bacterial SSU rRNA". It matches the Rfam family "Bacterial small subunit ribosomal RNA", at positions 74 to 704 of the family's 1533-position model. The record is from RNAcentral. Lineage: Bacteria; Pseudomonadati; Pseudomonadota; Gammaproteobacteria; Moraxellales; Moraxellaceae.